CUGAAAAGCUCCUGCUGGUUUCCUUCCCAGCCUUUAGCACUUUGCUAUGGUACUUGUCCCGAGGCUUCUGCUUCUGCUCAACCUUCUGGAAAGGCAAGGCAGGAGCGGGGUGUAAAGCUCAACCGAUCCUUCUGAAAGAUUGACCGGUGCUGGAAACUCUGCCCAUAAGUCUCUGUCUUACUGCUGAAAUAGUCUGAUAACUUAGUGCUGUUGCUGCUCUCUGGCUUGAUUCAAGUUGCUUUGGAGAUGUGCAGUCGGGCUCCCGGCACCCAGCUGUGGACCAGCACCGAGCUGUGGGGCUCUCGGCGUGCGCCCUUCAACGCAUCUUUCCAGGCAUUGGAGAGUAACCAACGGUUCCGCAUCAGUGACGUCAGCUGUGCAAAACUGGCAAGUUGCCCGAUUUAGGUACGGAAGAAACUAGGAUUGAAACAAGAGCUCUUACGGAUGUUUAAUAAGGGAGAGGAAGCAACAGAACCACACAGCUGCAAGAGGUGCAAGGUAAAUAUGAAAAGAGUUUCCUCUUGAUAACCUACUCCAGCAUGCUACAUCUGUCUGCUCCUUCAAAAAAAAUAUUAUAUUACACUUAACGACUGUAACUCUAUAAUUAGAGAUAAGAUGAAAGCAACUGUGAAGGCUGCGUGACUAAUCUAAGUUUCAGCAGGUACUGACUUGUGUUCAGUUCUGCUAAAUUUAGCACCUACUGCUGAUAGUUUGUGUGGAAUUCUAAAAUUAGAUUUAAUCUAGUUUUGUGAUAAAGAUAACUUAAAGUGACUAUGAAGAUUUAAAAAACUCAGGUUUUGAUUCAUACAGCCUCCCCAGUUGCUAACGCUCUCUAUAACACUGAGCACGAGUCCAACUAUACGAACAGCUAGCCAGACUAGAAACAAAUGACACCUUUUCAGAACA
This is a long non-coding RNA of Chroicocephalus ridibundus (black-headed gull), 906 nucleotides long. RefSeq lists it as uncharacterized. The record is from RefSeq and is a predicted model, not a curated record. NCBI's taxonomy places the organism in Eukaryota, Metazoa, Chordata, Aves, Charadriiformes, Laridae. The transcript has 3 exons.